This is a non-coding RNA of Meleagris gallopavo (turkey), 942 nucleotides long. The record is from RefSeq and is a predicted model, not a curated record. NCBI's taxonomy places the organism in Eukaryota, Metazoa, Chordata, Aves, Galliformes, Phasianidae.
CGCUCUGCCCCGCCAUCCCGGCCCGGGGCUCCUCUCGGGGUUCAGCUCCUCUCCGCGGGGAGCGGUGCUCGGCCCUGCGAGGAGCAGAACGGGACCCCUCUGGAGACAUCUCCUCUGAACGAGUUGCAAGACCGCUCAUCAGUCAGGCACAACGUGAACGUGUCCCUUCGCACGAGGCUCGUCUUCACACCCCAGUAUCCAUCACCACGACCUGCCAAACGGCGCGGGGAACCGGAGGGCAGAGGCUUCCCACGAGCACGGAGCAGCCCGCAGCACCGCGGCACGCAGCCCUAUGCCACCAGCACGGCCCCGGGGCGAGCAGUGCGCAGGGAGAGCUGGGGUGGUUCUGCAAAGCCAGGGCUGGAAGGGCGGCAGCAAUUUCCCAAGGUUUAAAGAAAGCACAGAGAGCAAGAACCUUGUCUCUGGUGCAGAAAACAAGAUGAAAGCCAUAAACUGCUCUAAGAGAGAAUCAGGCUGGACUUAGAGACAAAAGAGCCAAGGAUACCAGGCCCAGGGCGAGGAGCAGCUCGGUGUGCCGGGUCCUGCUCUGGGCCUGGGGAGCCGAGUGACCCGUGUGGUCCCUCUCGCAGGUUCACCCCUGACUCCACCAGGGUUUGUGCUUUUGGAGCUGUCCUCAUACACCAGGCCCAGCCCCGAGGCUUACAGCAUACCUCUGAUGGCUUUCCUUCACAGUUUUUUUGUCCUUUUCCACAAAAUAUUCACAUCUUUGAAAAUUACGUUUUUUGGUUGCCUACUUUAUAUUUUGCUAUUUUAAUAAAAUCAGUGGCAGAAUUCUCUUUGUCUUUUGAUUUCCAAAACCUCACAACUAUCUGUACGGAUUCCAGCUGUUUGCUUUAAGGUUUUGUAUUCUAUGGAACACCGAUAUAUUGAUAAUACGAACUGCACUUGAGUGGAUACACAAAUAUACUUUCCAAAACCUCA